ACGCUCGACACCUACGGAGGCAGCAGUGGGGAAUAUUGCACAAUGGGGGAAACCCUGAUGUAGCGACGCCGCGUGAGUGAAGAAGUAUUUCGGUAUGUAAAGCUCUAUCAGCAGGGAAGAAAAUGACGGUACCUGACUAAGAAGCCCCGGCUAACUACGUGUCAGCAGCCGCGGUAAUCUGAGCGGGCUGGCAAGGC
Molecule: ribosomal RNA, 197 nt
Filed under: uncultured bacterium
Lineage: Bacteria
Description: partial 16S ribosomal RNA
Rfam family: Bacterial small subunit ribosomal RNA
Source: RNAcentral